This 498-nucleotide ribosomal RNA is filed under the name uncultured bacterium. RNAcentral's name for it is "partial 16S ribosomal RNA". It matches the Rfam family "Bacterial small subunit ribosomal RNA", at positions 355 to 863 of the family's 1533-position model. The record is from RNAcentral.
UGGGGAAUAUUGCACAAUGGGCGCAAGCCUGAUGCAGCCAUGCCGCGUGUGUGAAGAAGGCCUUCGGGUUGUAAACCUCUUUUAGUAGGGAAGAAGCGAAAGUGACGGUACCUGCAGAAAAAGCACCGGCUAACUACGUGCCAGCAGCCGCGGUAAUACGUAGGGUGCGAGCGUUGUCCGGAAUUAUUGGGCGUAAAGAGCUCGUAGGCGGUCUGUCGCGUCUGCUGUGAAAACCCGAGGCUCAACCUCGGGCCUGCAGUGGGUACGGGCAGACUAGAGUGCGGUAGGGGAGAAUGGAAUUCCUGGUGUAGCGGUGGAAUGCGCAGAUAUCAGGAGGAACACCGAUGGCGAAGGCAGUUCUCUGGGCCGUAACUGACGCUGAGGAGCGAAAGCGUGGGGAGCGAACAGGAUUAGAUACCCUGGUAGUCCACGCCGUAAACGUUGGGCGCUAGAUGUGGGGACCAUUCCACGGUUUCCGUGUCGCAGCUAACGCAUUAA